This 124-nucleotide small RNA is filed under the name Marmota monax (woodchuck). The record is from RNAcentral. Lineage: Eukaryota; Metazoa; Chordata; Mammalia; Rodentia; Sciuridae.
GCUGGGCAUGGUGGUGCACGCCUGUAAUCCCAGCUGAUCGGGAGGCUGAGGCAGGAGGAUCAUGAGUUCAAAGCCAGCCUCAGCAAUAGUGAGGCACUAACCAACUCAGUGAGACCUGUCUCUA